RNAcentral lists this long non-coding RNA (1471 nucleotides) under Brassica napus (rape). Its description in RNAcentral is "long non-coding RNA (BNAP_LNC025559)". Lineage: Eukaryota; Viridiplantae; Streptophyta; Magnoliopsida; Brassicales; Brassicaceae. The record is from RNAcentral.
AAGUUCGCGAGAGAAAUAUACGGUUGAUGACCCAAUUGCCCUCACCUCUUAAUGUUUCGACUUCCCCGGGUUGAGGUACGUAGGGUUUUGUAGGUGUAUGACAGAGUUAUUUAGAUUUUGCUUAGAUUAUGUUUAGAUAUUGUGUAGAUAUUAGAAGAUAUUAUUAGAUUACAUCGGUAAAGAAAACUGAAACAGUGGGAGUGCUGAUAACUUACCGUCCACACAAAUUCUGACGCAACCGGCGCAUGCCAAAAACGAAUCGACCAAAAGAUUUUCGUCCUCUACUUAACCGUGAAAAAAUAAACCCUAAACCCACAAAAUAAACCCUAAACCCUAAACCGUAAACCCUAAACCCUUCCCUUUUUUAGUAAACCUAAACCCUAAACCCGAACCCUAAAAACUAAACCUAAAGCCUAAAGCCUAAAUCUAAACCCUAAACCCGAACCCUAAAAACUAAACCUAAACCCUAAACCCGAAUCCUAAACCCUUAACCCUAGACCCCAAACCCCAAACCCAUAACAAUAAACCCUAAACCCUUAACAUUUAACCCAAACACUAAACCCUAACCACUACACCUUUCUUCAGUAAACCUAAAUCCUAAACCCAAAACCCUAAAGUCUAAAGCGUAGACCGUUACCCCUAAUCCCUAAACCCUUCCCCUUUUUUUAGUAAACCUAAACCCAAACACUGAAAACUAAACAGAAUACUACCACCCACGAAUUAACGGAACAUACUAAAGUUAAAAAAUUUAUAUAGCCAACCCUUACUGAAAAGGUUACCACAACGAUUAUCCAUCCCGACUUACACCGGUAAAAUGCAUCCAAUACAAUGGAUAUAUCGCUAACAUUGCAAAACAUAAAGAUAUGAAAUCAAAUAUCUGGCUAGUUCUCUUUUUAUACAUGUAAACUUCGUAGUAGCUUGAUAAUUCCAUGACUCAGUGAGCAUGUUCAUUCUAAGCCGUAAACCUUUAACUUAAACAAUAAACCCUAAACCGUAAAUCCUAAACCCCAAACCCAUACCAAUACACCCUAAACUGGAAACCCUUAACCGCGAAAAAAUAAACCCUAAACCCACAAAAUAAACCCUAAACCCUAAACCGUAAACCGUAAACCCUAAACCCUUCCCUUUUUUUAGUAAACCUAAACCCUAAACCCGAACCCUAAAAACUAAACCAAAAGCCUAAACCCUAAACCUAAACCCUAAACCCGAACCCUAAAAACUAAACCUAAACCCUAAACCCGAAUCCUAAACCCUUAACCCUAGACCCCAAACCCAUAACAAUAAGCCCUAAACACUUAACAUUUAACCCAAACACUAAACCCUAACCACUACACCUUUCUUCAGUAAACCUAAACCCUAAACCCAAAACCCUAAAGUCUAAAGCCUAGAUCGUUACCCCUAAUCCCUAAACCCUUCCCCUUUUUUUAGUAAACCUAAACCCAAACACUGAAAACUAAACAGAAUACUACCA